GUGAAAUAUAUGAGUUGAAGAACAAUGGUUUUGCUCAGUUGUACUUCUAUUAGUUCAUGAUCUCAUAUUAAUAUGUUUUUGCUAUUUUUGUUUUCUUUCUUCUGAAGGCUGUAAAGCUACUGCUAAGGUUGGAUGCUGAGGACGCUGCUUGAAAGUCGAAGUUUUGGAAGUUCAGGUCAGGUAGAAGGUAUUGUUGCUCUCACAGCUUGUCGAAGUGGGCUGCAUCCUGGUACUCGGUAUUUGGCUAGGGGCAUUAAUUCCUGUUUUAGCACAGGUGGUGGCAGCCGAUGCAAAUCUUGUCUUAACCACUAGGGGCAUUGAGAAGACUACAAGGGCUUUAGUAUCUGAGCUUAAGGCUAUUUCAAAAGAGUUGAAGACAGUGAACUUGCUGAUGUUGCUGCUGUUAGUGCUGGGAACAACAAUGAAAUAGGAAAUAUGAUAGCUGAGUCCAUGAGUAAAUUUGGUCGAAAGGGUGUAAUUACCUUUGAGGCGGGAAACCGAAAUAAGGUAUCAAAUCUCCAUCGUAGCAACGAUGAACCUGGUUAGAGUAGAAUGCUUAUUUUCACUAUUGAUUAAAUAUUGAAAAAUCCUUAAGAUCCUGGUGAUAUAUAAGAUUUGCAUUUUACAGUUCAGUGUAACAAAAUUUGAACAUCAUUUUUCAGUGAAACAAAGAAAGUUGUAUUUACUAUUUGCUUUUUUUUACUGGUAGAAAAUUUUUUAACUGAAUUUUAUUUAAA
This is an RNA transcript of Gossypium arboreum, 737 nucleotides long. It is a transcript of the gene named probable phosphoinositide phosphatase SAC9, with no coding region annotated. The transcript has 4 exons. Lineage: Eukaryota; Viridiplantae; Streptophyta; Magnoliopsida; Malvales; Malvaceae. The record is from RefSeq and is a predicted model, not a curated record.